UUUAAAUGAGAAUUUUGGACUAUU
RNAcentral lists this microRNA (24 nucleotides) under Solanum tuberosum (potato). Its description in RNAcentral is "stu-miR8022". Lineage: Eukaryota; Viridiplantae; Streptophyta; Magnoliopsida; Solanales; Solanaceae. The record is from miRBase by way of RNAcentral.